GACGGAGGGUGCGAGAGAUACUCGGAAUUACUGGGCGUAAAGCGCAUGUAGGCGGCCGAACAAGUCAGGUGUGAAAUCCUCGGGCUUAACCUGGGAAGUGCACUUGAUACUGUCCGGCUAGAGUUUGGCAGAGGAAAGUAGAAUUCCCGGUGUAGCAGUGAAAUGCGUAGAUAUCGGGAGGAAUACCAGUGGCGAAGGCGGCUUUCUGGGCCAAUACUGACGCUGAGGUGCGAAAGCGUGGGGAGCAAACAGG
Molecule: ribosomal RNA, 253 nt
Filed under: uncultured bacterium
Lineage: Bacteria
Description: partial 16S ribosomal RNA
Rfam family: Bacterial small subunit ribosomal RNA
Source: RNAcentral